UACGUAGGGUCCGAGCGUUGUCCGGAAUUACUGGGCGUAAAGAGCGUGUAGGCGGCUUUGCAAGUCCGUUGUGAAAACUCGAGGCUCAACCUCGAGACGCCGGUGGAAACUGCAAAGCUAGAGUCCGGAAGAGGAGAGUGGAAUUCCUGGUGUAGCGGUGAAAUGCGCAGAUAUCAGGAAGAACACCCGUGGCGAAGGCGGCUCUCUGGGACGGUACUGACGCUGAGACGCGAAAGCGUGGGGAGCGAACAGG
Molecule: ribosomal RNA, 253 nt
Filed under: uncultured bacterium
Lineage: Bacteria
Description: partial 16S ribosomal RNA
Rfam family: Bacterial small subunit ribosomal RNA
Source: RNAcentral